UAGGGAUAUCUCCUUUCCAACAAAAAAAGAAUUAUCAAAAUCGGUACAUCCAGUAGAAAGUUAUGCGGUAUAAUACAACGUAUGUCGACGAAAAAAGCGUCAAGUAAAAACGCAUUAUUAGAUAUAACUCGAAAAGUAGUUGUUAGAUCUCAAAUAAAUUUAAAUGGGACCAAUUGGCACACACCACCUUUUGAUUAAAACAAAAUUUGUCGAAAUCGGUCUACCCGGUCAAAAGUUCUGAUGUAACAUACAUAAAAAAAAAUAAAAAAAUACAGUCGAAUUGAGAACCUCCUUUUUUGGAAGUCGGUUAAAAAGAAGUUUACCAUUUAUUACACAAUUCACAAAAAGAAAUGUACAACAGGCGGUCUUAUCGCUAAAUAGCGAUCUCUUGCUUGGAGGAGAUAAUGUGAAAAAAGUGGAAAAGGUGUACAGAAUUAAAAUGGAAGAAAACAGGAAGAAAACCAAAUAUACAUACAUACAUGCAUACAAACAUAGACAUAUUAUAAACUAUAUUAACUAUACAAAAAUUAUUACAUAACGUAUUACAUAAUAAGAUGUAAAUACACUACGAAUAUAAAUACAUACAAACAUAUACACACCCACACCCACAUACAUACAUACAUACAUACAUACAUACAUACAUACAUACAUACAUAGAUACAUACAUAGAUACAUACAUAGAUACAUACAUACAUACAUACAUACAUACAUACAUACAUACAUACAUACAUACAUACAUACAUACAUACAUACAUACAUACAUACAUACAUACAUACACACGCUUCAGCCUGUAAUAUCCCACUAC
RNAcentral lists this unclassified non-coding RNA (806 nucleotides) under Melitaea cinxia (Glanville fritillary). RNAcentral describes it as "misc RNA ENSMCXG00005001064.1". The record is from RNAcentral. Lineage: Eukaryota; Metazoa; Arthropoda; Insecta; Lepidoptera; Nymphalidae.